RNAcentral lists this ribosomal RNA (407 nucleotides) under uncultured bacterium. Its description in RNAcentral is "partial 16S ribosomal RNA". It matches the Rfam family "Bacterial small subunit ribosomal RNA", at positions 30 to 526 of the family's 1533-position model. The record is from RNAcentral.
AUUGAACGCUGGCGGCAGGCCUAACACAUGCAAGUCGAGCGGAGCGGCGGACGGGGGAGUAAUGCCUAGGAAUCUGCCUGGUAGUGGGGGAUAACGUCCGGAAACGGGCGCUAAUACCGCAUACUAUCAAAUGAGCCUCGGUAGGAUUAGCUAGUUGGACGGGUAAAGGCUUACCAAGGCGACGAUCCGUAACUGGUCUGAGAGGAUGAUCAGUCACACUGGAACUGAGACACGGUCCAGACUCCUACGUGAGGCAGCAGUGGGGAAUAUUGGACAAUGGGCGAAAGCCUGAUCCAGCCAUGCCGCGUGUGUGAAGAAGGUCUUCGGAUUGUAAAGCACUUUUGGUUGAGAGGCGGUACCUACAGAGUAAGCACCGGCUAACUACGUGCCAGCAGCCGCGGUAAUAC